UCAGUGGGGAAAGAAGACCCUGUUGAGCUUGACUCCAGUCUGGCAUUGUUCGGAGACAUGCCGAGGUGUAGCAUAAGUGGGAGUCGGGGAUUCAUGCGACGGUCUUAAAAUACCAUCGUACCUCGACGCCGUUGAAAUACCACUACUCGCAUCGUUUCCUUACUUACUCGGUGAUGCGGAGCGCGUGUUGUUUGGUCCGUGGCUUUGGCCGAAGUUGUCCAAUCUGAUCUGACGCGGACGUUCGUUCGUUUUCUGGCCAAGACGCCUCGGACAAUGGCGUUCGAAAUACACUUCGACGUCUCGGUCCACGCUGCCUUUGUGUCUUCAACUUUCGACGGGUGUUUGUACAAUCUCUCGCAUUAACCGUGCGUGUGGAUUUGCAAUCUGCCUCCGAUAACCGAACAUUAAGUGUACCUGUGGUACCGGUGUCGGAGUUGUUCGUUCGUUACCGGGAUCCGUCUUGAACGGUCUCGUAUGUCGUUCGUGUCUGUAUUAGUUCGACUUCGCGUUCGGGCCCGCUGUGGCCGGCAAUCACGAUCGGUUCCAAGUCGCUUUAAGCGCAAACGCGUCGCCUGCUCGUUCUUCCAGUCACCGGUCGUCUUCGCGCUUUCAAACGUGCAGUCGAUCGCCUGGAAAACCUGGCGUCGUUGCGUGAUCCGAUCCGAGGACACCGCCAGGUGGGGAGUUUGUCUGGGGCGGAACAUCUGUCAAAGAAUAACGCAGGUGUCCUAAGGCCAGCUCAGCGAGGACGGAAACCUCGCGUAGAGCAAAAGGGCAAAAGCUGGCUUGAUCCCGGACGCCCAGUACGCGUAGGGACUGCGAAAGCAUCGGCCUCUCGAUCCUCUCGUCU
This 850-nucleotide ribosomal RNA is filed under the name Neohodgsonius sp. CMU-2007. Its description in RNAcentral is "partial 28S ribosomal RNA". It matches the Rfam family "Eukaryotic large subunit ribosomal RNA", at positions 2394 to 2782 of the family's 3401-position model. Lineage: Eukaryota; Metazoa; Arthropoda; Insecta; Hemiptera; Monophlebidae. The record is from RNAcentral.